CGUCAUUAUCAACCAUCAAGCCUGGCUUGUCGUUGGACCCUUGGUCGUCGAGCGACCGGUCCGAAAGAUAACGGGCGGUGUCACGGCGACCCCCAGUGCAACGAGCUUUUCACGGCACGCAUCUGGAGGUCGGCGGGCCCGCUCUUCACCAUUAUUUCACGGUUGACCUCGGAUCAGGUAGGAAUACCCGCUGAACUUAA
This 200-nucleotide unclassified non-coding RNA is filed under the name soil metagenome. Its description in RNAcentral is "partial contains internal transcribed spacer 2 and large subunit ribosomal RNA". The record is from RNAcentral.